AGUGAACGCUGGCGGUAGGCCUAACACAUGCAAGUCGAACGGCAGCACAGUAAGAGCUUGCUCUUACGGGUGGCGAGUGGCGGACGGGUGAGGAAUACAUCGGAAUCUACUUUUUCGUGGGGGAUAACGUAGGGAAACUUACGCUAAUACCGCAUACGACCUACGGGUGAAAGCAGGGGAUCUUCGGACCUUGCGCGAUUGAAUGAGCCGAUGUCGGAUUAGCUAGUUGGCGGGGUAAAGGCCCACCAAGGCGACGAUCCGUAGCUGGUCUGAGAGGAUGAUCAGCCACACUGGAACUGAGACACUGUCCAGACUCCUACGGGAGGCAGCAGUGGGGAAUAUUGGACAAUGGGCGCAAGCCUGAUCCAGCCAUACCGCGUGGGUGAAGAAGGCCUUCGGGUUGUAAAACCCUUUUGUUGGGAAAGAAAAGCAGCAGGUUAAUACCCCGCUGUUCUGACGGUACCCAAAGAAUAAGCACCGGCUAACUUCGUG
This 492-nucleotide ribosomal RNA is filed under the name uncultured bacterium. RNAcentral describes it as "partial 16S ribosomal RNA". It matches the Rfam family "Bacterial small subunit ribosomal RNA", at positions 29 to 507 of the family's 1533-position model. The record is from RNAcentral.